UCUAUGUGUUCUUAAUUAUUUUUCAUACAGACUUGCUCGGCUAACUGAGGAGGUUUUUUAAGGUUUGACUUGUUAAAACAUUUAAAGAACAUGUGUUUUGCAGAAUAAUGAAAUCAGGAACUUUCUCCAAGUGGCCACUGCAUUGGAUCCACGCUUUAAACAUAAAUUGGAUGAUGACACCAUCUGGGACCAGAUCCAGAGAAAGCUGAUUGAACAUUCAACAGAGGAAGACUGUGGAGCUGAUGGGGACACCAUGGAGUCUGAGAAUGAGGACGAGGAGGGUCAACACCCUCCCUGCAAACUGCCCAGGAAGACUCCACCCUGGAGGAGCUGUUCGCUGAGGAAGAUGCACAGAACAUAGUGUCACAGCAGAGCUCCAUGUCCAUCAAGAAACGAGUGGAGAGAGAGCUGCAGAUAUACCAGGAAGUUCCACCGGUCCUCAUGUCUGAGGACCCUGCUGCAUGGUGGUGGAACCAACAAAAGACAUAUCCUUUGCUGUCAAAUCUCGCUUUCUCCUAUUUAUGCGUUCAAGCUUCUUCUACACCUAGCGAACGUGUGUUCUCCACAGCAGGAGACACUAUCUGUCCAGAACGUGCACGCAUCCUGCCUGAGAAGGCAGAUACGAUCAUUUUCCUAAACAAAAACUGUUUCUGAUUUUAUACUGUACCUGCUGCUAAUCUGGACUGGGUUUUA
Long non-coding RNA from Alosa sapidissima (American shad), 693 nucleotides. RefSeq lists it as uncharacterized. Lineage: Eukaryota; Metazoa; Chordata; Actinopteri; Clupeiformes; Clupeidae. The record is from RefSeq and is a predicted model, not a curated record. The transcript has 3 exons.